AGGCAGCAGGCGCGUAAAUUACCCAAUGUGGACUCCACGAGGUAGUGACGAGAAAUAUCAAUGCGGGGCGCUUCGCGUCUUGCUAUUGGAAUGAGAGCAAUGUAAAACCCUCAUCGAGGAUCAACUGGAGGGCAAGUCUGGUGCCAGCAGCCGCGGUAAUUCCAGCUCCAGAAGCGUAUGCUAAAGUUGUUGCAGUUAAAAAGCUCGUAGUUGAAUUUCUGGCGGGGGAGCCCAGGCCUCGGUGCGAAUGUGCCUUGUWUUSSCUUGGGGKYUCCUUKSCCWYCCYYGCUAWUUUYWRAUAGACGUCUUUCACUGUAAUCAAAGCAGAGUGUUCCAAGCAGGCCGUAGGGCCGGUAUGUUUAUUAUGGGAUGAUCAGAUAGGACUCGGGUGCUAUUUUGUUGGUUUGCACAUCUGAGUAAUGAUUAAUAGGAACAGUCGGGGGUAUCCGUAUUUAGGAGCUAGAGGAGAAAUUCUUGGAUUUCCGAAAGACGAACUACAGCGAAGGCAUUUACCAAGCAUGUUUCAUAAUCAAGA
RNAcentral lists this ribosomal RNA (535 nucleotides) under Aurantiochytrium sp. RNAcentral describes it as "partial small subunit ribosomal RNA". It matches the Rfam family "Eukaryotic small subunit ribosomal RNA", at positions 425 to 993 of the family's 1831-position model. The record is from RNAcentral. Lineage: Eukaryota; Bigyra; Thraustochytrida; Thraustochytriidae.